CCUACGGGCGGCUGCAGUGGGGAAUAUUGCACAAUGGGCGCAAGCCUGAUGCAGCCAUGCCGCGUGUGUGAAGAAGGCCUUCGGGUUGUAAAGCACUUUCAGCGGGGAGGAAGGCGUUAAGGUUAAUAACCUUGGCGAUUGACGUUACCCGCAGAAGAAGCACCGGCUAACUCCGUGCCAGCAGCCGCGGUAAAACGGAGGGUGCAAGCGUUAAUCGGAAUUACUGGGCGUAAAGCGCACGCAGGCGGUCUGUCAAGUCGGAUGUGAAAUCCCCAGGCUCAACCUGGGAACUGCAUUCGAAACUGGCAGGCUAGAGUCUUGUAGAGGGGGGUAGAAUUCCAGGUGUAGCGGUGAAAUGCGUAGAGAUCUGGAGGAAUACCGGUGGCGAAGGCGGCCCCCUGGACAAAGACUGACGCUCAGGUGCGAAAGCGUGGGGAGCAAACAGGAUUAGAUACCCGAGUAGUC
This 465-nucleotide ribosomal RNA is filed under the name uncultured Klebsiella sp. Its description in RNAcentral is "bacterial SSU rRNA". It matches the Rfam family "Bacterial small subunit ribosomal RNA", at positions 338 to 795 of the family's 1533-position model. Lineage: Bacteria; Pseudomonadati; Pseudomonadota; Gammaproteobacteria; Enterobacterales; Enterobacteriaceae. The record is from RNAcentral.